GACGAACGCUGGCGGCGUGCUUAACACAUGCAAGUCGAACGAAGUGGCGAACGGGUGAGUAACGCGUAAUCAACCUGCCCUUCAGAGGGGGACAACAGUUGGAAACGACUGCUAAUACCGCAUACUGAAGGAGGGGAUUGCGUCGGAUUAGCUCGUUGGCGGGGGAACGGCCGACCAAGGCGAGGAUCAGUAGCCGGUCUGCGAGGGUGAACGGCAAAAUUGGGACUGAGUCACGGCCCAGACUCCUACGGGAGGCAGCAGUGGGGAAUCUUCCGCAAGGGACGAAAGUCUGACGGAGCAACGCCGCGUGAGUGAUGACGGCCUUCGGGUUGGAAAGCUCUGUUAAUCGGGACGCGGUACCGGAAUAGAAAGCCACGGCUAACUACGUGCCAGCAGCCGCGGUAAUUC
RNAcentral lists this ribosomal RNA (408 nucleotides) under uncultured bacterium. RNAcentral's name for it is "partial 16S ribosomal RNA". It matches the Rfam family "Bacterial small subunit ribosomal RNA", at positions 28 to 526 of the family's 1533-position model. The record is from RNAcentral.